GCGGAGGAAAAGAAACCAACAGGGAUUGCCUUAGUAACGGCGAGUGAAGCGGCAACAGCUCAAAUUUGAAAUCUGGUCCCCUUUGGGGGCCCGAGUUGUAAUUUGAAGAGGAUGCUUUUGGCGAGGCGCCGUCCGAGUUCCCUGGAACGGGACGCCGCAGAGGGUGAGAGCCCCGUACGGUCGGACGCCGAGCCUCUGUAAAGCUCCUUCGACGAGUCGAGUAGUUUGGGAAUGCUGCUCAAAAUGGGAGGUAAACCCCUUCUAAAGCUAAAUACUGGCCAGAGACCGAUAGCGCACAAGUAGAGUGAUCGAAAGAUGAAAAGCACUUUGAAAAGAGAGUUAAAAAGCACGUGAAAUUGUUAAAAGGGAAGCGCUUGCGACCAGACUUGCGCCCGUCGGAUCAACCGUCGCUUGCGGCGGCGCACUCCGGCGGGCUCAGGCCAGCAUCAGUUCGUCCGGGGGGAGAAAGGCGGCGGGAAUGUGGCUCUUCGGAGUGUUAUAGCC
Molecule: small RNA, 504 nt
Filed under: Scopulariopsis alboflavescens
Lineage: Eukaryota; Fungi; Ascomycota; Sordariomycetes; Microascales; Microascaceae
Description: eukaryotic LSU rRNA
Rfam family: Eukaryotic large subunit ribosomal RNA
Source: RNAcentral